Melanotaenia boesemani (Boeseman's rainbowfish) is the source of this 1370-nucleotide long non-coding RNA. RefSeq lists it as uncharacterized. The record is from RefSeq and is a predicted model, not a curated record. Lineage: Eukaryota; Metazoa; Chordata; Actinopteri; Atheriniformes; Melanotaeniidae. The transcript is spliced from 2 exons.
GGGAGCCGCCCUUCAUUCACCCACAUGGUUACCAACUGGUCGCCUUCGCGCCACUUUCUUAACGCUGUAAUCAUUUUUAAGAAGCAUCUCUGGGCUACAAAUGGUCUCAAUACCGACUCGGGGUUCACUUUAUGUUUUGUUUUUGCCUGCCGGGAUAAAAGUUUUCGGUUGGGUUACGUAUUUAUUGGUCUUUUUUGUCGGUGUGAGACUACACGGCAGCCCAAGCAAGUGAGCGAAGAUGGUGGAUUUCGGCUGAUCCACCAAGAGGUGCAGGUUCCCAGGAUAAAAGUCUCAAAUCGUGGAGCAGUGGGACCAUCUUCCUUGUGGUGUUAGAAGGCUAUGAUGCCAUUAUCGGUCUGUGUAUUGUCAAAGUGCUUACAGUGCAGGUAGUACUGUGUAAUACCUACUGCAGUGGAGGCACUUACAGCAAUAUCCUGACAAUGAUGAGCUGACGCUUUGAUGUUACAUGUCAUUUGAAGUACUGUCUUUGUGCUAAGGUGCAUCUAGUGCAGAUAGUGAAAUAGACUAGCACCUACUGCCCUAAGUGCUCCUUCUGGCAUAAGGGGCUGUGAUAUGCACCACCAGACCAUUCUUAAUUUCUAAUUGGGCUCAAACAUCUCGCAGUUCUCUGCUAGUUUUGCAUAGUUGCACUACAAGAAUACAUGAGUUGUGCAAAUCUAUGCAAAACUGAUGGUGGCCUGCUUGCUCUCCACCUGUUUAGAUUUCUUUGGUUUUGGGGGUGUUGCAUCAAACAACUUUAUUUGAAUAAUACACCAUAAACAUGGCUUUAAAAAAAGUGGAAAACAUGAAAAAAAAACAAAAAACAAAAAAAAAUAGCAUUUGCCAGUUCCCAUGAGCGAAACUGAGUUCAGUAGUACUAAAGUGCUUAUAGUGCAGGUAGUGUUUUUCCUAUCUACUGCAAUGUGAGCACUUGAAGUACUUCUAACUGUGUCUCCUGCAGGCAGAGUUGAACAGUCAAAGACAAAUCUGUUAUUCGUGGCCUGUUUAGUUUUGCUGGUUUGCAUUCAGCUUUAACAGGUGUUCGCUGUGCAAAUCCAUGCAAAACUGACUAGGUUUACGAGUUGUGUUCUGCCAAGGAGAACCGCUUUUCAUCAUGUGAAGGGACGUCUGGAGGUGUCCUGUCCUGUGCAGGUGGGGAUUAGUAGCAAUGCUGUACCAUUGGAGGUAUUGCACUUGUCCCGGCCUGUAAAGAUGCAGGAGAUGAAGCUAAUUGGAAUCUUCUGAAUGUUAAAAAUCUGUUUACACAACUGUUUUUCUCUUUUCCCUGUGCUGCUUUGGUCUAUUUAAACGCAGUGUGAUAUUACUGUUUUGUAAGAUUUUUUUUUUUAAAAAAUAAAAAAUUGAAAAUA